This 635-nucleotide long non-coding RNA is filed under the name Salmo salar (Atlantic salmon). RNAcentral describes it as "lncRNA (ENSSSAG00000096631.1)". Lineage: Eukaryota; Metazoa; Chordata; Actinopteri; Salmoniformes; Salmonidae. The record is from RNAcentral.
CGAGCACCAGAGAGGGGGAGCGGGAGCAGACAGCCGCCACCUGGCGUCCUACCUGGGCGAGCCCGAUGGGCUGGCCAAGGCAUGUGAGCCGGCCGAGGCGCGGGAGCCCGGUGAGCCGGCCGAGGCGCGGGAGCCUGGCGAGCCAGCUGAGGCAUCCCCGGUUGCUUCGGCAACGGCACCUGGACCCGACGUCACCAAGAAAAAGCAAAAAACGAAAAACUCCCUGAUGCUUCCAAUAGUGGUGUCUGCAUUCUUUAACGGUUCCGUAUCUACAGACGCUGGGCGACGGGAAGCAAGUACAGGCAAAAGCAUAUACAGUCGACCCUCUACCUCCCCAUUGCCACCAGCUGAAGAUCACAUCUUCUGAUCCUCUUUCACCCAGCUGGAGGAGUUCUGAUUCUAGCUUUCCAUCAAAUGGCUACCUGCCAUUCUGCCGCCUGGCUCCGGGGAUCAUCCUCCGGAAGAUGGGUUCAUCACCAAAAUAUAUUUUCAUUAACUUUCACAUUUGCAUUCAGUUUUUGUUGUUCAUUCAGUUAAGCCUGUAUUCGAUUGAACUAAAGUACAUUUAUAUCAUAUGAAGGUUCUCAAAGAAAUCCAUUUGUCUCCUAAAAUAAACCUUUUUGAAGAAAAUUACC